UACAGAGACCCCAAGCGUUAUCCGGAUUUAUUGGGCGUAAAGGGCUCGUAGGAGGUUAUGUGCGUCUCGUGUUAAAUCGUACCGCUCAACGGUACGGCUGCGCGGGAUACGGCAUAACUAGAGGAUGUCAGAGGUAAGCGGAACGCACGGUGUAGGGGUGAAAUCCGUUGAUAUCGUGCGGAACACCAGAGGCGAAGGCGGCUUACUGGGGGCACUCCUGACUCUGAGGAGCGAAAGCAUGGGUAGCGAAGAGG
Molecule: ribosomal RNA, 254 nt
Filed under: uncultured bacterium
Lineage: Bacteria
Description: partial 16S ribosomal RNA
Rfam family: Bacterial small subunit ribosomal RNA
Source: RNAcentral